RNAcentral lists this ribosomal RNA (492 nucleotides) under uncultured bacterium. RNAcentral describes it as "partial 16S ribosomal RNA". It matches the Rfam family "Bacterial small subunit ribosomal RNA", at positions 29 to 507 of the family's 1533-position model. The record is from RNAcentral.
AGUGAACGCUGGCGGUAGGCCUAACACAUGCAAGUCGAACGGCAGCACAGUAAGAGCUUGCUCUUACGGGUGGCGAGUGGCGGACGGGUGGGGAGUACAUCGGAAUCUACUUUUUCGUGGGGGAUAACGUAGGGAAACUUACGCUAAUACCGCAUACGACCUACGGGUGAAAGCAGGGGAUCUUCGGACCUUGCGCGAUUGAAUGAGCCGAUGUCGGAUUAGCUAGUUGGCGGGGUAAAGGCCCACCAAGGCGACGAUCCGUAGCUGGUCUGAGAGGAUGAUCAGCCACACUGGAACUGAGACACGGUCCAGACUCCUACGGGAGGCAGCAGUGGGGAAUAUUGGACAAUGGGCGCAAGCCUGAUCCAGCCAUACCGCGUGGGUGAAGAAGGCCUUCGGGUUGUAAAGCCCUUUUGUUGGGAAAGAAAAGCAGCAGGUUAAUACCCCGCUGUUCUGACGGUACCCAAAGAAUAAGCACCGGCUAACUUCGUG